Bombus terrestris (buff-tailed bumblebee) is the source of this 675-nucleotide long non-coding RNA. RefSeq lists it as uncharacterized. The transcript has 3 exons. The record is from RefSeq and is a predicted model, not a curated record. NCBI's taxonomy places the organism in Eukaryota, Metazoa, Arthropoda, Insecta, Hymenoptera, Apidae.
ACCGUACUCUCCCAGUCGUUCAGUCCGCGCCCCGACACGCAAUCACGCGCACACUUCUCGUCGUCUCGCUGAGAAUCCGAACUUUCCGUUUCCUUUUUUUUUCUCUUUACGCUCUCGCUUGUGACUCGAGAGUUCUUCGAGUGGCUGCCACGCGCGUCUUACACCCGCCGAUUCUUCUUGUUGUCGCGAUUACUCUUUUCCCUUUCAACGUGACGCGACUACACGCGGUCCUCUUUGGUUCUAACAAAGCGAGAUCAACGCGAAGCCAAACUAAUUAUCCAUAACUAACCAGUGUGCCCAUUAUGACAACUCUGAGGAUUCCUCCGCAUCGUCUUAAGUCGUAAAAGCAUCGGGAAAAUAGCAUUCUCCGUGAAAAGGGAAACACCGUAAACUAUCAACGAAAUUAACGCAUGUGUAUCUAAUCCAUUAACACAUCGUGGGUUUCGGAUACCUGAUCGACAAAACUAAUAUCCGAGGGGUUAAUUUAAACACUCCAUCUCUGAAGAGAGGGAACAACGUGGUUGUACGCGAGAAAGGGAUUCGAAGAAGCCUGCGAGUACGGCGUCAGGAGAUCGCGGGGCCCUCCUCUGAAAAAAGGGGCUCCGCACGAGAAGGGGCACGUAAACGUACCCCUGGACCCGUCGUGGUGUUGUCCGCCGGGGGUGGCGGUGGUGG